GCGGCUAUGGCGAAACUGGCAGUACGCGCCAGAUUUAGGAUCUGGUCUUCGGGUGAGGGUUCAAAUCCCUCUAGCCGCA
This 79-nucleotide transfer RNA is filed under the name Caudoviricetes sp. RNAcentral's name for it is "tRNA-Leu". It matches the Rfam family "tRNA". From Rfam's summary of the family: Transfer RNA (tRNA) molecules are approximately 80 nucleotides in length. Their secondary structure includes four short double-helical elements and three loops (D, anti-codon, and T loops). Further hydrogen bonds mediate the characteristic L-shaped molecular structure. tRNAs have two regions of fundamental functional importance: the anti-codon, which is responsible for specific mRNA codon recognition, and the 3' end, to which the tRNAs corresponding amino acid is attached (by aminoacyl-tRNA synthetases). tRNAs cope with the degeneracy of the genetic code in two manners: having more than one tRNA (with a specific anti-codon) for a particular amino acid; and 'wobble' base-pairing, i.e. permitting non-standard base-pairing at the 3rd anti-codon position. The record is from RNAcentral. Lineage: Duplodnaviria; Heunggongvirae; Uroviricota; Caudoviricetes.